UUCCCUCUUUAGCCUGGUGCCAGUUGCCAGAACCGUCAAGAGAACAAGACGGGAAGGAGACUCCCUAUGGAGGUAGCCGCUUGGGAGUUUCCGGUUACCCAUAAAAAUUUGAAAGCAAUUUUAGGCACUAGUGGGUUUCAAGUUUAAUCAAAUCGGAGGUAAACUAUUUCUUUGUUUGAAAUCAAUUAUGAAGGUACGAGAGGUUGUUUCUGUGUGUUUUUAGUUUUUUCAUUUUGUAUUAAACGCCAUAUGUGCGUGUUAAUGUGUAUACUUCUUACACUCGGUUUGGGCGUAAAUUGUAAGUUUGGUAUGUUCAUAAUCAGACCAAUCGUGAUGAGAAGCGGUUGACGAAGAAGCAAAACUUACUACAAUGCAGAUCAUCAUUAAUAUAACUUGGUUGCAGUCGCUAGAUACCUCAUUGUCACACAAAAUUGGAUAGAUCAUCAUUAUGGAGUUUUGAUUCUUUCAAACAAAUGAGAUGUUGUGGAGCCUGGGUUCUUUUAAAACCAUUCAUCCUUAGUAUUAAUGUUUUAUUAAGAGUGAUGUGCUAAUUUAUUAGUACCGGUGCAACGGGUCGAAGGAAUGAAUAACAAAGUUGGGUAGAAUGAAACAAGAGAGAAGUAUGCUAUGAUGGAGAAAAUUGAAGAAAAGUGAAGUUGCAUGCUUAAGUGAAUGAGAGAUUGUGAUUGUUGUUAAAUAGCAUUUGCCAUAAAAGUUUAUAGCAAGUUAAAAUAUGGUUUUAUGUUAGUAAACAAAUUAUUACGAAUAUUAAUUGUAUUGCUUU
RNAcentral lists this long non-coding RNA (784 nucleotides) under Helianthus annuus (common sunflower). RNAcentral's name for it is "hypothetical non coding rna". Lineage: Eukaryota; Viridiplantae; Streptophyta; Magnoliopsida; Asterales; Asteraceae. The record is from RNAcentral.